GACUUGACAUCUCCUGAAUUACUCUUAAUCGAGGAAGUCCCUUCGGGGACAGGAAGACAGGUGGUGCAUGGUUGUCGUCAGCUCGUGUCGUGAGAUGUUGGGUUAAGUCCCGCAACGAGCGCAACCCUUAUUGUUAGUUGCUACUAUUAAGUUAAGCACUCUAACGAGACUGCCGCGGUUAACGUGGAGGAAGGUGGGGAUGACGUCAAAUCAUCAUGCCCCUUAUGUCUAGGGCUACACACGUGCUACAAUGGCUGGUACAACGAGCAGCAAACCCGCGAGGGGGAGCAAAACUUGAAAGCCAGUCCCAGUUCGGAUUGUAGGCUGAAACUCGCCUACAUGAAGUUGGAGUUGCUAGUAAUCGCGAAUCAGCAUGUCGCGGUGAAUACGUUCCCGGGUCUUGUACACACCGCCCGUCACACCAUGAGAGCCGGUAACACCCGAAGCCCGUGAGGUAACCGUAAGGAGCCAGCGGUCGAAGGUGGGAUUGGUGAUUGGGGUGAAGUCGUAACAAGGUAGCCGUAGGAGAACCUGCGGCUGGAUCACCUCCUUUCUAUGGA
This 560-nucleotide ribosomal RNA is filed under the name Clostridium botulinum C. RNAcentral's name for it is "bacterial SSU rRNA". It matches the Rfam family "Bacterial small subunit ribosomal RNA", at positions 978 to 1533 of the family's 1533-position model. The record is from RNAcentral. Lineage: Bacteria; Bacillati; Bacillota; Clostridia; Eubacteriales; Clostridiaceae.